This 296-nucleotide ribosomal RNA is filed under the name uncultured microorganism. RNAcentral describes it as "partial 16S ribosomal RNA". It matches the Rfam family "Bacterial small subunit ribosomal RNA", at positions 505 to 796 of the family's 1533-position model. The record is from RNAcentral.
GUGCCAGCAGCCGCGGUAAUACGUAGGUGGCAAGCGUUAUCCGGAAUUAUUGGGCGUAAAGCGCGCGCAGGUGGUUUCUUAAGUCUGAUGUGAAAGCCCACGGCUCAACCGUGGAGGGUCAUUGGAAACUGGGAGACUUGAGUGCAGAAGAGGAAAGUGGAAUUCCAUGUGUAGCGGUGAAAUGCGUAGAGAUAUGGAGGACCACCAGGUGGCGAAGGCGACUUUUCUGGUCUGUAACUGACACUGGAGGCGCGAAAGCGUGGGGAAGCAAACAGGAUUAGAUACCCUGUUAGUCC